AGAGUUUGAUCAUGGCUCAGGAUGAACGCUGGCGGCGUGCUUAACACAUGCAAGUCGAACGCUGAAGCUCCCAGCUUGCUGGGGGUGGAUGAGUGGCGAACGGGUGAGUAUCACGUGAGUAACCUGCCCUUAACUCUGGGAUAAGCCCGGGAAACUGGGUCUAAUACUGGAUAGGACUGGCCAUCGCAUGGUGGUUGGUUGAAAGUUUGUAACGGUUUUGGAUGGACUCGCGGCCUAUCAGCUUGUUGGUGGGGUAAUGGCCUACCAAGGCUUUGACGGGUAGCCGGCCUGAGAGGGUGACCGGCCACACUGGGACUGAGACACGGCCCAGACUCCUACGGGAGGCAGCAGUGGGGGAUAUUGCACAAUGGGGGAAACCCUGAUGCAGCGACGCCGCGUGAGGGAUGACGGCCUUCGGGUUGUAAACCUCUUUCAGUUGGGAAGAAGCCCUUCGGGGUGACGGUACCUUCAGAAGAAGCACCGGCUAACUACGUGCCAGCAGCCGCGGUAAUACGUAGGGUGCGAGCGUUAUCCGGAAUUAUUGGGCGUAAAGAGCUCGUAGGCGGUUUGUCACGUCUGCUGUGAAAGCCUCAGGCUUAACCUGGGGUGUGCAGUGGGUACGGGCAGGCUGGAGUGCAGUAGGGGAGACUGGAAUUCCUGGUGUAGCGGUGAAAUGCGCAGAUAUCAGGAGGAACACCGAUGGCGAAGGCAGGUCUCUGGGCUGUUACUGACGCUGAGGAGCGAAAGCAUGGGGAGCGAACAGGAUUAGAUACCCUGGUAGUCC
RNAcentral lists this ribosomal RNA (784 nucleotides) under uncultured bacterium. RNAcentral's name for it is "bacterial SSU rRNA". It matches the Rfam family "Bacterial small subunit ribosomal RNA", at positions 8 to 796 of the family's 1533-position model. The record is from RNAcentral.